CUACGGGGGGCAGCAGGUACGAAACCUUCACAAUGCAUGAAAGUGUGAUGAGGCUAACCGAAGUGCCAAUACUACGUAUUGGCUUUUGCCAAGUGUAAGGUGCUUGGCGAAUAAAGGGUGGGCAAUACCGGUGCCAGCAGCCGCGGUAACACCGGAGCCCUAAGUGGUGGCCAUGAUUAUUGGGCGUAAAGCGUCCGUAGCCGUUCUUACAAGUUCGCGGUGAAAUUCUGGGUCUUAAGCCCAGAGCGUGCUGAGAAUACUAUAAGAAUAGGGACUGGAGGGAGCAGAGAGAAUGCCAGGAGUAGAGGUGAAAUUCUGUAAUUCCUGGUAGACUACCAGUGGCGAAGGCGCUCUGCUAAAACAGGUCUGACGGUGAGGGACGAAAGCUUGGGUAGCGAACCGGAUUAGAUACCCGGGUAGUC
RNAcentral lists this ribosomal RNA (422 nucleotides) under uncultured archaeon. RNAcentral describes it as "partial 16S ribosomal RNA". It matches the Rfam family "Archaeal small subunit ribosomal RNA", at positions 323 to 746 of the family's 1478-position model. The record is from RNAcentral.